This 508-nucleotide ribosomal RNA is filed under the name uncultured bacterium. RNAcentral's name for it is "partial 16S ribosomal RNA". It matches the Rfam family "Bacterial small subunit ribosomal RNA", at positions 30 to 523 of the family's 1533-position model. The record is from RNAcentral.
AUUGAACGCUGGCGGCAGGCCUAACACAUGCAGGUCGAGCGGCAGCGGGAAAGUAGCUUGCUACUUUUGCCGGCGAGCGGCGGACGGGUGAGUAAUGCCUGGGAAAUUGCCCAGUCGAGGGGGAUAGCAGUUGGAAACGACUGCUAAUACCGCAUACGCCCUACAGGGGAAAGCAGGGGACCUUCGGGCCUUGCGCGAUUGGAUAUGCCCAGGUGGGAUUAGCUAGUUGGUGAGGUAAUGGCUCACCAAGGCGACGAUCCCUAGCUGGUCUGAGAGGAUGAUCAGCCACACUGGAACUGAGACACGGUCCAGACUCCUACGGGAGGCAGCAGUGGGGAAUAUUGCACAAUGGGGGAAACCCUGAUGCAGCCAUGCCGCGUGUGUGAAGAAGGCCUUCGGGUUGUAAAGCACUUUCAGCGAGGAGGAAAGGUUGAUGCCUAAUACGUAUCAACUGUGACGUUACUCGCAGAAGAAGCACCGGCUAACUCCGUGCCAGCCGCCGCGGUAA